This 501-nucleotide ribosomal RNA is filed under the name uncultured bacterium. Its description in RNAcentral is "bacterial SSU rRNA". It matches the Rfam family "Bacterial small subunit ribosomal RNA", at positions 28 to 517 of the family's 1533-position model. The record is from RNAcentral.
GAUGAACGCUAGCUACAGGCUUAACACAUGCAAGUCGAGGGGAAACGAUAGAGAAAGCUUGCUUUUUCUAGGCGUCGACCGGCGCACGGGUGAGUAACGCGUAUCCAACCUGCCCAUCACUUGGGGAUAACCUUGCGAAAGUAAGACUAAUACCCAAUGACGUCUCUAGAAGACAUCUGAAAGAGAUUAAAGAUUUAUCGGUGAUGGAUGGGGAUGCGUCUGAUUAGCUUGUUGGCGGGGUAACGGCCCACCAAGGCGACGAUCAGUAGGGGUUCUGAGAGGAAGGUCCCCCACAUUGGAACUGAGACACGGUCCAAACUCCUACGGGAGGCAGCAGUGAGGAAUAUUGGUCAAUGGACGAGAGUCUGAACCAGCCAAGUAGCGUGCAGGAUGACGGCCCUAUGGGUUGUAAACUGCUUUAUAAGGGAAUAAAGUGGGAGUCGUGACUCUUUUUGCAUGUACCUUAUGAAUAAGGACCGGCUAAUUCCGUGCCAGCAGCCG